Molecule: ribosomal RNA, 526 nt
Filed under: uncultured bacterium
Lineage: Bacteria
Description: bacterial SSU rRNA
Rfam family: Bacterial small subunit ribosomal RNA
Source: RNAcentral
UCGAACGCCCCUUCGGGGAGUGGCGCACGGGUGAGUAACGCGUGGGAAUGUGCCCUCGGGUACGGAACAACACCGGGAAACUGGUGCUAAUACCGUAUAAUAUCUUCGGAUCAAAGAUUUAUCGCCCAGGGAUCAGCCCGCGUAGGAUUAGCUAGUUGGUGAGGUAAUGGCUCACCAAGGCUUCGAUCCUUAGCUGGUCUUAGAGGAUGAUCAGCCACACUGGAACUGAGACACGGUCCAGACUCCUACGGGAGGCAGCAGUAAGGAAUAUUGGACAAUGGGCGAAAGCCUGAUCCAGCCAUGCCGCGUGAAUGAAGAAGGCCUUAGGGUUGUAAAGUUCUUUUAGUGGUGACGAUAAUGACGGUAGCCACAGAAAAAGCUCCGGCUAACUCCGUGCCAGCAGCCGCGGUAAUACGGAGGGAGCGAGCGUUGUUCGGAAUUACUGGGCGUAAAGGGUGCGCAGGCGGCUAUGUAAGUCGGAAGUGAAAUCCCAGGGCUUAACYCUGNAAUUGCUUUCGAAACUAUA